RNAcentral lists this ribosomal RNA (360 nucleotides) under uncultured bacterium. Its description in RNAcentral is "bacterial SSU rRNA". It matches the Rfam family "Bacterial small subunit ribosomal RNA", at positions 29 to 416 of the family's 1533-position model. The record is from RNAcentral.
AACGAACGCUGGCGGCAUGCCUAACACAUGCAAGUCGAACGAAGCCUUCGGGCUUAGUGGCGCACGGGUGCGUAACGCGUGGGAAUCUGCCCUUUGGUUCGGAAUAACAGUUAGAAAUGACUGCUAAUACCGGAUAAUGACGUAAGUCCAAAGAUUUAUCGCCGAAGGAUGAGCCCGCGUAGGAUUAGGUAGUUGGUGGGGUAAUGGCCCACCAAGCCGACGAUCCUUAGCUGGUCUGAGAGGAUGAUCAGCCACACUGGGACUGAGACACGGCCCAGACUCCUACGGGAGGCAGCAGUGGGGAAUAUUGGACAAUGGGCGAAAGCCUGAUCCAGCAAUGCCGCGUGAGUGAUGAAGGCC